Daktulosphaira vitifoliae (grape phylloxera) is the source of this 1505-nucleotide long non-coding RNA. RefSeq lists it as uncharacterized. The transcript has 3 exons. The record is from RefSeq and is a predicted model, not a curated record. Lineage: Eukaryota; Metazoa; Arthropoda; Insecta; Hemiptera; Phylloxeridae.
AAGUCCCCCGAUUGACGAUUUCACAGCUAUUGCAAUAAUUAUGUUAUAAUUUUAAAAUCGUUUACAUAAUCAUGGUAAUGACAGUAUUGAUUAAUAUGAUUUUGUAAUAUUCAGAUCCUGGGAACUGCUUCGAUAUUGGCUCGGCCUGCCGACCAAGUAUACUGGCUCUAAUCGUCAACAGAUUUAUUAGACUGACCGUGCAGGCCCUGGGAUAUCUCACCGUUUUCAAUUCUUUUGUACCCACGGCGUAUUGAACGUUCUGCGCUGUUGAUUUUUGUUAAGACCGUCCUCCCCUCACCAAAAAGAUCGCAAUAAAAAUCUGUCUACAUUGAUAUCGAUUGACCCGGUAACGUCUGGCUGUUGGACACGGAUCGCUGUGUGUUGUUCUCUUUUGGAGCUCAUCGAUAACGCCAGUAGACUUCUAUCAACCGUACUUCAAUAUUAUCAUUUUUAAUAGACCAUUUCAGUAGUAACAAUUAACAUGUAUUUUAUUGUUCCCUGCGUGGAAAAUUACAUUGAAAUUUUUUAACGCUCAUUAUUUCAGUAUGGAAAAACACAUUAAAAUCCAAGCUGAUAAUUUAAAGUGAAAUAAUAAACUCAAGACGCAUCGUUUAUAAAAACUGUGAAUUUCGAAAAAAAAUUUUGAAUAAUUUCGAGUCUUUGAUUUCUCUAAAGUAAAUACCAUUACAGUAUACACUGGGGUAUUUUAUAAAUCCCCAAUUCGAUAAGAUUUUGUUUACAUCGAGUUUGUAAUGUUAACAACAAAACCAUUUAAAAGUGAGACAAAUAAUAUCUCGCCUGUAAAUAUAUUUUUUUCUCUCAUAUGUCAACCGUGAUUUUCUUAUUGUUGUGUUCUUGAUUUUUACAAUGAUUUCUGCACUCGCCAUAAGCAUAUAUAUAUAGCAUAUACAUAUAUAUAUAUCGUUUUGUAUUUUUAUAUAUAUUUUCUUUGAACUAUUUUUUUUAAAUUGCUCCGAGCAAUUAUUCCAUACGAUUAUGUGUGCUUAUUUAUGUAAGCAAAAUAAAUUAAUAAUAAUCAUGAAAAUCAAUUUUUUACCACGUUAUUAUUUAAAUAUUUAAACUAAUCAUUUCACUUGAGGUACACACGUUAGGGUUAUCUCAUACGAUAUUUCACUUACAGUUUAUUUUCGCGUAUUCAAUAUAUUCUAUAUAAUUUUUUUUUUUAUUUCAACUUGCAAAUAAAAUUCAUCUUAUGUAAUAUAGUUGAGCGAAAGUUCAGUGCUGUAAAUAUCGACCUGUUCUUUUAUCAUAUGGUUUAAAGACUAACCGUUUUUGAUUUAUCUUAUUUUAAAAAACGACCCAUUUGACUAAUAACCAUUGUAACAUGUUGCAUAAUUAUUGUAUAAUCUUUUGUGAAAUAUUUUUACUAAUUAUACCGUUAUUCAACUGACAUUUUACUACCCCGAUACACAAUUGACCACUGUGAUUAUAUAAUACAUAUUAUAUUAUAAUAACAUGAAAAUAAAUCAACAACACGUUUUUAA